RNAcentral lists this ribosomal RNA (909 nucleotides) under uncultured bacterium. RNAcentral describes it as "bacterial SSU rRNA". It matches the Rfam family "Bacterial small subunit ribosomal RNA", at positions 8 to 902 of the family's 1533-position model. The record is from RNAcentral.
AGAGUUUGAUCCUGGCUCAGAUUGAACGCUGGCGGCGUGCUUAACACAUGCAAGUCGAACGUGAAAGUCCUUCGGGGCGAGUAAAGUGGCGCACGGGUGAGUAACGCGUGGAUAAUCUACCCUUAAGAUGGGGAUAACGGCUGGAAACGGUCGCUAAUACCGAAUACGCUCCCGAUUUUAUCGUUGGGGGGAAAGAUGGCCUCUGCUUGCAAGCUAUCGCUUAGGGAUGAGUCCGCGUCCCAUUAGCUAGUUGGCGGGGUAACGGCCCACCAAGGCAACGAUGGGUAGCCGGUCUGAGAGGAUGACCGGCCACACUGGAACUGGAACACGGUCCAGACUCCUACGGGAGGCAGCAGUGGGGAAUAUUGCGCAAUGGGCGAAAGCCUGACGCAGCGACGCCGCGUGAGGGAUGAAGGUUCUCGGAUCGUAAACCUCUGUCAGGGGGGAAGAAACCCCCUCGUGUGAAUAAUGCGAGGGCUUGACGGUACCCCCAAAGGAAGCACCGGCUAACUCCGUGCCAGCAGCCGCGGUAAUACGGAGGGUGCAAGCGUUAAUCGGAAUCACUGGGCGUAAAGCGCACGUAGGCGGCUUGGUAAGUCAGGGGUGAAAUCCCACAGCCCAACUGUGGAACUGCCUUUGAUACUGCCAGGCUUGAGUACCGGAGAGGGUGGCGGAAUUCCAGGUGUAGGAGUGAAAUCCGUAGAUAUCUGGAGGAACACCGGUGGCGAAGGCGGCCACCUGGACGGUAACUGACGCUGAGGUGCGAAAGCGUGGGUAGCAAACAGGAUUAGAUACCCUGGUAGUCCACGCUGUAAACGAUGGGUGCUGGGUGCUGGGAUGUAUGUCUCGGUGCCGUAGCUAACGCGAUAAGCACCCCGCCUGGGGAGUACGGUCGCAAGGCUGAAACUC